RNAcentral lists this unclassified non-coding RNA (258 nucleotides) under plant metagenome. Its description in RNAcentral is "partial contains small subunit ribosomal RNA and internal transcribed spacer 1". The stretch from base 1 to 46 matches the Rfam family "Eukaryotic small subunit ribosomal RNA", at positions 1786 to 1831 of the family's 1831-position model. The record is from RNAcentral.
AAGUCGUAACAAGGUUUUCGUAGGUGAACCUGCGGAAGGAUCAUUAUAAAUAAAGCUGGUAGGAAGUGGGGUCUUGAUCUGUAAGUGGUAGAGCGAACAGUCCGGCUGCCUCCCGAAAUGUCUUACAUGUCCCCCACAGCCUGAAGGCCGAAUUACAACCCUUGAUUAUCUACACUUGUUUGCUUUGGGGUAGCUCAAGUGCCCAGAGGACCCAACUCAUCUGCAAUUGGACGUCUGAGUACUAUAUAAUAUUUAAAA